UACAGAGGGGGCAAGCGUUGUUCGGAAUUACUGGGCGUAAAGGGCGCGUAGGCGGCCUGUUAAGUCGAACGUGAAAUCCCCGGGCUCAACCCGGGAACUGCGUCCGAUACUGGCAGGCUUGAAUCUGGGAGAGGGAUGCGGAAUUCCAGGUGUAGCGGUGAAAUGCGUAGAUAUCUGGAGGAACACCGGUGGCGAAGGCGGCAUCCUGGACCGGUAUUGACGCUGAUGCGCGAAAGCCAGGGGAGCAAACGGG
This 253-nucleotide ribosomal RNA is filed under the name uncultured bacterium. RNAcentral's name for it is "partial 16S ribosomal RNA". It matches the Rfam family "Bacterial small subunit ribosomal RNA", at positions 524 to 776 of the family's 1533-position model. The record is from RNAcentral.